GGCAGGGAUCAAACCCUGUCAUCCCGCAAGGGAAGGGAACCGAGUGAACUGAAACAUCUAAGUAGCUCGAGGAAAAGAAAGUAUUCCGUUAGUAGUGGCGAGCGAACGCGGAAAAGCCUAAACCAGCCGCGAGGUUGGGGUUGUAGGGUCUCCGUUUAGGCAACAAGACUGAAGCAGAAUGGCGUGGGAAAGCCAACCAGAGAGGGUGAGAGUCCCGUACGUAAGGGUCGAGUUGUUGAGGGGAUACCUGAGUACCGCAGGACACGAGAAAUCCAGCGGGAAGCUAGGAAGACCACUUCCUAAGGCUAAAUACACCAUACGACCGAUAGUGCAAUAGUACAGUGAUGGAAAGGUGAAAAGAACCCCGGCGAGGGGAGUGAAACAGAAUCUGAAACCAUAUACUUACAACCGGUCAGAGUCCUGGAAACGGAUGAUGGCGUGCCUUUUGGAGAAUGAGCCGGCGAGUUAAUGUCUGUGGCAAGCUUAAGGGAGAUACACCCGGAGGCGAAGCGAAAGCGAGUCUGAAUAGGGCGAGAAGUCGCAGGGAUUAGACGACG
Molecule: ribosomal RNA, 557 nt
Filed under: uncultured bacterium
Lineage: Bacteria
Description: bacterial LSU rRNA
Rfam family: Bacterial large subunit ribosomal RNA
Source: RNAcentral